This is a non-coding RNA of Apodemus sylvaticus (European woodmouse), 452 nucleotides long. The record is from the annotation of a RefSeq genome assembly. NCBI's taxonomy places the organism in Eukaryota, Metazoa, Chordata, Mammalia, Rodentia, Muridae.
UGUCCUCUCCACAGUCCCUGAACACACUGACUCUAAACAUGGAAUGGAACUGGAUCUUUCUCUUCCUCCUGUCAGUAACUGCAGGUAUCCAAUCACAGGUCCAGCUGCAGCAGUCUGGAGCUGAUCUGGUGAGGCCUGGGUCUUCAGUGAAGCUGUCCUGCAAGGCUUCUGGCUACAGCUUCACCAGUUACUGGGUGAACUGGGUAAAGCAGAGGCCUGGACAAGGCCUUGAGUGGAUUGGAAUUAUAGAUCCUUCAGAUGAUUUCACUAGCUACAAUGAGAAAUUCAAGGGCAAGGCCACACUGACUGCAGACAAAUCCUCCAGCACAGCCUACAUGCAACUCAGCAGCCUGACAUCUGACGACUCUGCGGUCUAUUACUGUGCAAGACACAGUGUUGAAACCACAUCCUUAGUGUGUCAGAAACUCUGGGGGAUCAAAAAGCUGCCCUGA